This 686-nucleotide unclassified non-coding RNA is filed under the name Patiria miniata (bat star). RNAcentral's name for it is "uncharacterized LOC119746062, transcript variant X3". The record is from RNAcentral. Lineage: Eukaryota; Metazoa; Echinodermata; Asteroidea; Valvatida; Asterinidae.
CCAGUGACGGGUGCAUAUGCGCAUCCAUCAGUGCAGACGAAAGGCGCUGAGGCAGACUGGACGCCCAUACAAUGCACAGACAGGGGUGUGUAGCCACUCCUUGAUGAAGGCUCCGCAUCUGCACUGUCCAUUCUGCUCCCAGGACAGUCUCUUCACUGAGGAGAUUCUCCUCAAGGCGCACUACGUACAGGGUCAAGUACGUGGAUAAAGGCAUCAACUUUGGGGGAUGUCAACCAGAUCUUCACCACAUACACUGACCCAGCACCCAACAGUACCAGCCUGGUAACACACCUCAUAGUCCCCCAGUCACAGCAGCCAUCGGAGACAGACACAUCAUCCCCGGGGCUAUGAGCAGACUGAUGGGCAGCAGCCGCAGAUCGAGUACCAGUAUGCCUGCAUCAAUGAUCCGAGUCAGAGCACUGCCAAUGGGGAAGUUGUCCUUAUUGAAAUACCAGAUGAAGGAAGCAAAGAGGAUUUGGAGGACGAGACUUGCUACACAGAGCACAACUUGUCGCUGCUGCUGCAGGAGAAGGAAAGUCUGGAGAAGACUCUUGAGGAGGAGCGGACCACGUGGGCCCAGACAGAGCACAGAAUGAAAGGUUGAGUAUUUGUCCAACACAAACAUGUCACUCAAGCAGCAGCUGUCCAUGAUGCACACGUCCAGUUUGAAACAUCUAACCAACGAC